UAAGUGUAAAUGUAAGUGUAAGUGUAAAUGUAAGUAUAAAUGUAAGUGUAAAUGUAAGUGUAAAAAGUGUAAGCGUAAAUGUAAGUGUAAAAAGUGUAAUUGUAAGUAAUUACAUGGAAUUGUAAGUAAGUGUAAAUGUAAGUGUAAAUGUAACUUUAAAUGUAACUAAAAUGUAAGUGCAAGUGUAAAUGUAAAUGUAAGUAAGUGUAAAAAGUGUAAGUGUAAAUGUAAGUAAGUGUAAAUGUAAAUGUAAGUGUAAAAAUGUAAGUGAAAGUAUAAAUGUAAAUGUAAUUUUAAUUAAAAUGGAAAUGUAAGUGUAAAUGUAAGUGUAAAUGUAAUUUUAAGUAAAGUGCAAGUGUAAAUGUAAAAAUGUAAGUGCAAGUAUAAAUGUAAGUGUAAAUGUGACUGCACGUGUAAGUGUAAAUGUAAUUUAGAGUAAAAUAUAAAUGUGAGUGUAAAUGAAGUUGGAGGGCCAGGCUGCAAGCAGCCUGAGUCAGCUGUUUUUAUAACUGCUGUUGUUGUAACUGUUGUUAUCCUGCUGCUAUAACUACACGUUAUAUUACUGGCUUUAUGCAAAUAUUCAAAUGAAUGCUGGAUGUGGAAUGUUGGAAGACUGUGCUGUAUGAAGAGAGUUUCUUUGAGUUCUGCUAUUUACAAAACUUAGAAAAGUAGUGUGAUAAAUAGAUAUAUUUUUGGACUAUAACGUGGUGAUGUAAAAAGCUGCUUUUUUACUGUCAAAAGCUCCAGUCUCCCAUCAAAUUUCACCUUCUUGCACCAAUAAUGACCUGGAUCCUGAGUGCACAUCAAUUGCUUUCUGAUUAAAAUAUACUCUUUUUGAAUAAAAUAUGUCCUUAAUGAGGCAAAACCACUCGUGAUUCAAGCCAAAGGAUUUAUUUACCUUUUCAAGGUGCAGAAAGCAAAGGCCUGAGUUUUACCACAUUCACUCUGCCAUGAAUUUGAUAAGGAACCACAGAGGAAAGUCCAAACAACUUCUGAAAACAUGCAGCAGGAUGGACAUGAAGGAUUUCCCAGCUCAGCCCUGGAAUUUCAGCAGGAAGCUCUGAUCCUGAAGCAGAUGCUGGAGGUUGGUGCCAU
Molecule: long non-coding RNA, 1095 nt
Filed under: Ficedula albicollis (Collared flycatcher)
Lineage: Eukaryota; Metazoa; Chordata; Aves; Passeriformes; Muscicapidae
Description: lncRNA (ENSFALG00000027601.1)
Source: RNAcentral